Molecule: transfer RNA, 66 nt
Filed under: Catacanthus incarnatus
Lineage: Eukaryota; Metazoa; Arthropoda; Insecta; Hemiptera; Pentatomidae
Description: tRNA-His
Source: RNAcentral
UUUAUAGUAGUUUAAUUUUAAGAAUAGUAAUUUGUGGUAUUACUGGUGAAUUUUUAUUCCUUGGAU